GCAAUUGCGGCGGCUACCAUGCAGUCGAGCGGUAGCACAGAGAGCUUGCUCUCGGGUGACGAGCGGCGGACGGGUGAGUAAUGUCUGGGAAACUGCCUGAUGGAGGGGGAUAACUACUGGAAACGGUAGCUAAUACCGCAUAACGUCGCAAGACCAAAGUGGGGGACCUUCGGGCCUCAUGCCAUCAGAUGUGCCCAGAUGGGAUUAGCUAGUAGGUGGGGUAACGGCUCACCUAGGCGACGAUCCCUAGCUGGUCUGAGAGGAUGACCAGCCACACUGGAACUGAGACACGGUCCAGACUCCUACGGGAGGCAGCAGUGGGGAAUAUUGCACAAUGGGCGCAAGCCUGAUGCAGCCAUGCCGCGUGUAUGAAGAAGGCCUUCGGGUUGUAAAGUACUUUCAGCGGGGAGGAAGGCGAUAAGGUUAAUAACCUUGUCGAUUGACGUUACCCGCAGAAGAAGCACCGGCUAACUCCGUGCCAGCAGCCGCGGUAAUACGGAGGGUGCAAGCGUUAAUCGGAAUUACUGGGCGUAAAGCGCACGCAGGCGGUCUGUCAAGUCGGAUGUGAAAUCCCCGGGCUCAACCUGGGAACUGCAUUCGAAACUGGCAGGCUAGAGUCUUGUAGAGGGGGGUAGAAUUCCAGGUGUAGCGGUGAAAUGCGUAGAGAUCUGGAGGAAUACCGGUGGCGAAGGCGGCCCCCUGGACAAAGACUGACGCUCAGGUGCGAAAGCGUGGGGAGCAAACAGGAUUAGAUACCCUGGUAGUCCACGCCGUAAACGAUGUCGAUUUGGAGGUUGUGCCCUUGAGGCGUGGCUUCCGGAGCUAACGCGUUAAAUCGACCGCCUGGGGAGUACGGCCGCAAGGUUAAAACUCAAAUGAAUUGACGGGGGCCCGCACAAGCGGUGGAGCAUGUGGUUUAAUUCGAUGCAACGCGAAGAACCUUACCUGGUCUUGACAUCCACAGAACUUGCCAGAGAUGGCCUUGGUGCCUUCGGGAACUGUGAGACAGGUGCUGCAUGGCUGUCGUCAGCUCGUGUUGUGAAAUGUUGGGUUAAGUCCCGCAACGAGCGCACCCUUAUCCCUUUGUGCCAGCGGUAGCCGGGACUCAAGGAGACUGCCAGUGAUAAACUGGAGGAAGGGUGGGGGAUGACGUCCAGGUCAUCAUGCCCUAACGACAAGGCUACCACGUGCUACCAUGGCGCUAGCAGACAGUCGAACCCUCCGCGAGGAG
RNAcentral lists this ribosomal RNA (1231 nucleotides) under Klebsiella pneumoniae. RNAcentral's name for it is "bacterial SSU rRNA". It matches the Rfam family "Bacterial small subunit ribosomal RNA", at positions 35 to 1264 of the family's 1533-position model. The record is from RNAcentral. Lineage: Bacteria; Pseudomonadati; Pseudomonadota; Gammaproteobacteria; Enterobacterales; Enterobacteriaceae.